CUACGGGCGCAGCAGUGAGGAAUAUUGCACAAUGGAGGAAACUCUGAUGCAGCAACGCCGCGUGGAGGAUGACGCAUUUCGGUGUGUAAACUCCUUUUAUAUGUCAAGAAAAUGACGGUAGCAUAUGAAUAAGCACCGGCUAACUCCGUGCCAGCAGCCGCGGUAAUACGGAGGGUGCAAGCGUUACUCGGAAUCACUGGGCGUAAAGGACGCGUAGGCGGGAUAUCAAGUCAGGUGUGAAAUCCUACAGCUUAACUGUAGAACUGCACUUGAAACUGGUAACCUAGAGUAUGGGGGGGGAGAUGGAAUUAGUGGUGUAGGGGUAAAAUCCGUAGAUAUCACUAGGAAUACCUAAAGCGAAGGCGAUCUCCUGGAACAUAACUGACGCUAAGGCGUGAAAGCGUGGGGAGCAAACAGGAUUAGAUACCCCCGUAGUC
Molecule: ribosomal RNA, 437 nt
Filed under: uncultured bacterium
Lineage: Bacteria
Description: partial 16S ribosomal RNA
Rfam family: Bacterial small subunit ribosomal RNA
Source: RNAcentral